AUGGGCAGAAAAUCAGCCAGCUCAAGCCUGAACACAAAGUGCCUGCCAGCUUCCACGGGUGAUAUCCUCUGCUGUCUUGAGAAAGGAAUAGGAAUACGAUGCAGCAGCUCACAUUUUCCUAAACUCGUGCAGAAGAAGGCAAGCACGAGAAUGCGGGCAACGUUCGCUGAAUCAUCUUUAAAAAUUCUAGCACGACCCAAAAGAAGUGUGUUGCUUUUCCUGGAAAAAUUUGGUGUCAUCUACUCGAAUGUAAAGGUAAGUUGCAACAGAUUCUAUUUUCCUAUUCUGACUUCUUUCCAAAGAAGGGAACAUAACUCUCAGAAAAAUGCAGGUUUUUGCUGGGAUACACAUGAUUCCAUUAAAAAUCCAUUGCAGUAAUGCUUCUGUGAAAUUUGUUUAUGUAUCUUGUAAGAAAGAAAGACUUUGACGUGUACGCACAUAACCUUCCUGUCAGAAAUCACCAGGCAGAUUUUUAAAAAAUAGAGGACACAAUUUUC
This 497-nucleotide long non-coding RNA is filed under the name Numida meleagris (helmeted guineafowl). RNAcentral's name for it is "lncRNA (ENSNMEG00000019214.1)". The record is from RNAcentral. Lineage: Eukaryota; Metazoa; Chordata; Aves; Galliformes; Numididae.